Molecule: ribosomal RNA, 424 nt
Filed under: uncultured bacterium
Lineage: Bacteria
Description: partial 16S ribosomal RNA
Rfam family: Bacterial small subunit ribosomal RNA
Source: RNAcentral
GUGGGGAAUCUUAGACAAUGGGGGAAACCCUGAUCUAGCCAUGCCGCGUGAUCGAUGAAGGCCUUAGGGUUGUAAAGAUCUUUCAGGUGGGAAGAUAAUGACUGUACCACCAGAAGAAGCCCCGGCUAACUCCGUGCCAGCAGCCGCGGUAAUACGGAGGGGGCUAGCGUUGUUCGGAAUUACUGGGCGUAAGCGCACGUAGGCGGAUUGGAAAGUUGGGGGUGAAAUCCCGGGGCUCAACCCCGGAACUGCCUUCGAUACUGGCGAUCUAGAGUUCGAGAGAGGUGAGUGGAAUUCCGAGUGUAGAGGUGAAAUUCGUAGAUAUUCGGAGGAACACCAGUGGCGAAGGCGGCUCACUGGCUCGAUACUGACGCUGAGGUGCGAAAGCGUGGGGAGCAAACAGGAUUAGAAACCCUUGUAGUCC